RNAcentral lists this transfer RNA (74 nucleotides) under Botrimarina colliarenosi. RNAcentral's name for it is "Planctomycetes bacterium Pla108 tRNA-Ala". It matches the Rfam family "tRNA". From Rfam's summary of the family: Transfer RNA (tRNA) molecules are approximately 80 nucleotides in length. Lineage: Bacteria; Pseudomonadati; Planctomycetota; Planctomycetia; Pirellulales; Lacipirellulaceae. The record is from RNAcentral.
GGGGCUGUAGCUCAGUUGGGAGAGCGUCGCGUUUGCAACGCGAAUGUCGCAGGUUCGAUCCCUGUCAGCUCCAC